GGAUCUCCUGCAGACCCCCGCCCUCAUCAGCGAAGAAGUCUCCGGCGCAGCAGUCGACACCACCGGCGACGCCUAUGAGAUGGACCACCUUCGAGGCUCCCACAUGCAUCGUCUGUUGCAGAAGUAAUCAUCGAUAGUAAUCUGAGCCUGGUUAUUAAAUUACCAGAGCUAGUUCUAAUAUAUGUGAUUUCAUAAACACGCAGUGUUUAUGAUUUGAAAAAAAUGCACUACCUCCGACUGACCUUACUUAUGAUGUUUGUUCUUAAGGUCAGUCUAUAUACAGUAGUUAACACAUAUAUGUAAUCUCAUCAGUGUAUGUUUGGACUACACAAUAUAAUGUUUUAGCACCGCACAAUGCCGUAUAUUAUUCAAUGCACAGCGCUAGAUUAUGAAACAUAUGUUGUUACUGAACUGUGCAAUAAAUAGUCAAAUACG
Non-coding RNA from Penaeus vannamei (Pacific white shrimp), 435 nucleotides. The record is from RefSeq and is a predicted model, not a curated record. Lineage: Eukaryota; Metazoa; Arthropoda; Malacostraca; Decapoda; Penaeidae.